RNAcentral lists this ribosomal RNA (430 nucleotides) under Pseudomonadota bacterium. Its description in RNAcentral is "Proteobacteria bacterium partial 16S ribosomal RNA". It matches the Rfam family "Bacterial small subunit ribosomal RNA", at positions 355 to 776 of the family's 1533-position model. The record is from RNAcentral. Lineage: Bacteria; Pseudomonadati; Pseudomonadota.
UGGGGAAUAUUGGACAAUGGGCGAAAGCCUGAUCCAGCCAUGCCGCGUGUGUGAAGAAGGCCUUAUGGUUGUAAAGCACUUUAAGCGAGGAGGAGGGUACUGGUAUUAAUACUACCAGCUACUGGACGUUACUCGCAGAAUAAGCACCGGCUAACUCUGUGCCAGCAGCCGCGGUAAUACAGAGGGUGCGAGCGUUAAUCGGAAUUACUGGGCGUAAAGCGCGCGUAGGUGGUUCGUUAAGUUGAAUGUGAAAGCCCCGGGCUCAACCUGGGAACUGCAUCCACAACUGGCGAGCUAGAGUAGGGCAGAGGGUGGUGGAAUUUCCUGUGUAGCGGUGAAAUGCGUAGAUAUAGGAAGGAACACCAGUGGCGAAGGCGACCACCUGGGCUCAUACUGACACUGAGGUGCGAAAGCGUGGGGAGCAAACAGG